GGAUGUGAGGGUGGUCUGGCUACAACAUGUGUCCCCCAUUGAUCCCGGGGUUGAGUCAGCUGACCUGACUGGCCAGGCAGGCGUUGCCUUCCUAACACACCACAGGCAUCCCUCCCGAAGCCGAAGCCAAGCACUUAGCGGAAGGGCUGACCCUCUCACCGUUCCUUAGUCAAAGGUGUGAGAGUAGCUGUGGUCCCCUAUGACCUCCAACCAAGCUCUAAAAUAGUAGUGCCAACUUGCGGGAUUGGCCACCACCCAAGGUUUGACUGCAGAAAAAUUAAAUCACCUGCUGGAAUUUGUU
RNAcentral lists this small nuclear RNA (301 nucleotides) under Octodon degus (degu). RNAcentral's name for it is "7SK RNA (ENSODEG00000022602.1)". It matches the Rfam family "7SK RNA". Rfam says of the family: 7SK was discovered as an abundant small nuclear RNA in the mid-70s but a possible function has only recently been suggested. Lineage: Eukaryota; Metazoa; Chordata; Mammalia; Rodentia; Octodontidae. The record is from Rfam by way of RNAcentral.